Molecule: unclassified non-coding RNA, 226 nt
Filed under: uncultured fungus
Lineage: Eukaryota; Fungi
Description: sequence contains ITS1, 5.8S rRNA gene
Source: RNAcentral
UCUCCGUAGGUGAACCUGCGGAGGGAUCAUUACUGAGUGAGGGCUUCGGUCCGACCUCCAACCCUUUGUGAACCAAACUUGUUGCUUCGGGGGCGACCCUGCCGCUUCGGCGGUGCGGCGCCCCCGGAGGCCAUUAAACACUGCAUCAUUGCGUUGGAGUUAAAGUAAAAUAAACAAAACUUUCAACAACGGAUCUCUUUGUUCCAGCAUCGAUGAAGAACGCAAC